RNAcentral lists this ribosomal RNA (513 nucleotides) under uncultured bacterium. Its description in RNAcentral is "partial 16S ribosomal RNA". It matches the Rfam family "Bacterial small subunit ribosomal RNA", at positions 28 to 523 of the family's 1533-position model. The record is from RNAcentral.
GACGAACGCUGGCGGCAUGCCUAAUACAUGCAAGUCGAGCGAACAGAUGAAGUGCUUGCACUUCUGACGUUAGCGGCGAAUGGGUGAGUAACACGUAAGGAAUCUACCUAUAAGCGGGGGAUAACAUUCGGAAACGGGUGCUAAUACCGCAUAAUAUCUUCUUCCGCAUGGAAGAAGAUUGAAAGACGGCUCUGCUGUCACUUAUAGAUGACCUUGCGGUGCAUUAGUUAGUUGGUGGGGUAAUGGCCUACCAAGACAAUGAUGCAUAACCGACCUGAGAGGGUGAUCGGCCACAUUGGGACUGAGACACGGCCCAAACUCCUACGGGAGGCAGCAGUAGGGAAUCUUCCGCAAUGGGCGAAAGCCUGACGGAGCAAUGCCGCGUGAGUGAAGAAGGCCUUCGGGUCGUAAAACUCUGUUAUAAGAGAAGAACAAAUUGUAGAGUAACUGCUACAGUCUUGACGGUAUCUUAUCAGAAAGCCACGGCUAACUACGUGCCAGCCGCCGCGGUAA